ACGAGGACGAACGCUGGCGGCGUGCUUCAUACAUGCAAGUCGAACGGGAAUCUCUAGCUUGCUAGAGAGGAAAGUGGCGGACGGGUGAGUAAAAUGUAGGUAAUCUGCCUUUAAGCGGGGGACAACAGUUGGAAACGAUUGCUAAUACCCCAUAUGAGCGUACCUGAAAUGGUAUUCUUGAAAACUCCGGUGCUUAGAGAUGAGCCUGCAUCUGAUUAGCUAGUUGGGGGUGUAAUGGACCACCAAGGCAACGAUCAGUAGCUGGUUUGAGAGGAUGAUCAGCCACAAUGGGACUGAGACACGGCCCAUACUCCUACGGGAGGCAGCAGUAGGGAAUUUUGCGCAAUGGGGGAAACCCUGACGCAGCAACGCCGCGUGAAUGAGACGGCCUUCGGGUUGUAAAGUUCUGUCAAUAGGGACGAAAAAUGACGGUACCUAUAGAGGAAGCACCGGCUAACUCCGUGCCAGCCGCUGC
Molecule: ribosomal RNA, 475 nt
Filed under: uncultured bacterium
Lineage: Bacteria
Description: bacterial SSU rRNA
Rfam family: Bacterial small subunit ribosomal RNA
Source: RNAcentral